Molecule: ribosomal RNA, 478 nt
Filed under: uncultured bacterium
Lineage: Bacteria
Description: partial 16S ribosomal RNA
Rfam family: Bacterial small subunit ribosomal RNA
Source: RNAcentral
GACGAACGCUGGCGGCGUGCUUAACACAUGCAAGUCGAGCGGUAAGGCCCUUCGGGGUACACGAGUGGCGAACGGGUGAGUAACACGUGGGUGAUCUGCCCUGCACUUCGGGAUAAGCCUGGGAAACUGGGUCUAAUACCGGAUAGGACCACUGCCUGCAUGGGUGGUGGUGGAAGGCUUUUGCGGUGUGGGAUGGGCCCGCGGCCUAUCGGCUUGUUGGUGGGGUGAUGGCCUACCAAGGCGACGACGGGUAGCCGGCCUGAGAGGGUGACCGGCCACACUGGGACUGGGAUACGGCCCAGACUCCUACGGGAGGCAGCAGUGGGGAAUAUUGCACAAUGGGCGCAAGCCUGAUGCAGCGACGCCGCGUGAGGGAUGACGGCCUUCGGGUUGUAAACCUCUUUCAGCACCGACGAAGCGCAAGUGACGGUAGGUGCAGAAGAAGAACCGGCCAACUACGUGCCAGCCGCCGCGGUAA